GACGAACGCUGGCGGCGUGCUUAACACAUGCAAGUCGAACGGAAAGGCCCUGCUUGCAGGGUACUCGAGUGGCGAACGGGUGAGUAACACGUGGGUGAUCUGCCCUGCACUUCGGGAUAAGCCUGGGAAACUGGGUCUAAUACCGGAUAGGAGCCAUUUUUAGUGUGAUGGUUGGAAAGUUUUUUCGGUGUAGGAUGAGCUCGCGGCCUAUCAGCUUGUUGGUGGGGUAAUGGCCUACCAAGGCGGCGACGGGUAGCCGGCCUGGGGGGGUGGACGGCCACAUUGGGACUGGGAUACGGCCCAGACUCCUACGGGAGGCAGCAGGGGGGAAUAUUGCACAAUGGGCGGGAGCCUGAUGCAGCGACGCCGCGUGGGGGAUGACGGCCUUCGGGUUGUAAACUCCUUUCGCUAGGGACGAAGCUUUUUGUGACGGUACCUAGAUAAGAAGCACCGGCUAACUACGUG
Molecule: ribosomal RNA, 465 nt
Filed under: uncultured bacterium
Lineage: Bacteria
Description: partial 16S ribosomal RNA
Rfam family: Bacterial small subunit ribosomal RNA
Source: RNAcentral